GUUUUCUAUUUUAGUACAUUGCAAUCCUGGAGCAUCCUUCUUUACUAUGAAACCGUUUAUCUGGUUUGUGGAUGUAUUUCUAGCAAAAAUAACCAAUAUGUCGGCAAAAGUGCUGUUUCCUAUCCAACGCUUUUGCCCUUCAAGGAUCCAACCUCCUUCAACCUUUCUGGCAGUAGUCCCCAAUCCACUUGCAUCACUUCCAUAGUCAG
This 209-nucleotide unclassified non-coding RNA is filed under the name Hevea brasiliensis (rubber tree). Lineage: Eukaryota; Viridiplantae; Streptophyta; Magnoliopsida; Malpighiales; Euphorbiaceae. The record is from RNAcentral.